UGGGGAAUUUUCCGCAAUGGGCGAAAGCCUGACGGAGCAAUACCGCGUGAGGGAGGAAGGCUCUUGGGUCGUAAACCUCUUUUUUCGGGGAAGAUAAUGACGGUACCCGAAGAAUAAGCAUCGGCUAACUCUGUGCCAGCAGCCGCGGUAAUACAGAGGAUGCAAGCGUUAUCCGGAAUGAUUGGGCGUAAAGAGUCCGUAGGUGGUUAUGUAAGUCUGUGGUUAAAGAGUGGAGCUCAACUCCAUAGGGGCCAUAGAAACUACAAGACUAGAGUAAGGUAGGGGUAGAGGGAAUUCUCGGUGUAGCGGUGAAAUGCGUAGAUAUCGGGAAGAACACCGGUGGCGAAGGCGCUCUACUGGACCUUAACUGACACUGAGGGACGAAAGCUAGGGGAGCGAAAGGGAUUAGAUACCCCUGUAGUC
RNAcentral lists this ribosomal RNA (423 nucleotides) under uncultured cyanobacterium. Its description in RNAcentral is "bacterial SSU rRNA". It matches the Rfam family "Bacterial small subunit ribosomal RNA", at positions 355 to 795 of the family's 1533-position model. Lineage: Bacteria; Bacillati; Cyanobacteriota. The record is from RNAcentral.